GGGGCCCUCGUGCCUCGGCGCUCGCAACCCCGCGCGUGAGGCGUCGGACGGCUGAGCGCGCCGGAACGGCGGGCGUGGCGGGGCGUGGCGGAGGCGUUCGCCUGUCCCUCUCUGCUGGCGAGGGCGGUUCGGCGUUUCUUCCCUCCUCACAGUGUUAAGUCGGAACCAGGUUGGCACUGCGGCGUCUGCACGAGGAGAAGGGAAGCAUAACAGUUUCAGAAAAAUCGCUGUCUUUGGAGAGAGCAGAGAAUGAGGUGGGAAAAGUCUUCAAAUAGCUGCCUAAAAUGUAUCUCAUGAGGAAUUCAGCCAUCUCUGAAGGACUUCUUUGGGAAGAGAGUGUGAGUCAAGACCUCCAGAAGCCAGGAAGAAUGUGUAGAGAAAAGGACCCAGGACCAAGCCCUGAUGCGCUGAGCCCUGGAACACGCCACCAAAUGAAGGCUCUUAAAACAUUGGACAAAGGCCAAGGAACAGUGCUUUUUUAAUCAAUCUUUUUAAAUUAAUGAAUCCCCUAUCUUAACCCUAAUCCUGAAUUUCAAUGCAGCUACGUCGCACAGUCAAUUUUAAUCAUCCAGGGUUCAGUGCAGGGAAAGGGGAUAAAGAUAGAAGAGAGGCACAAAGCUAAUUGAUGUUGGAAUAUAAAACGGAGAUCAUUUCCACCCCGAGAUGUGCACCUGGCACCAGCCUGCCUCUCAGCUCCACUGUCCUGUCAGCGGUGGAGGACCUAGCCCAGGACUAACAGGAAGACUCCAGGCUACUAUUGACAGUACGCUUGGGAAUGAGUAGACCAUGCUUUCUUAUUUAGACUUGGCCGACACCAUGACUGGUCUUUUCAAAUCUGAGACUCUUGACAACACGGCCCACUUGAUUGAUGGUAACAACUGGCUGUUACUGUUUACUAUGCUCAUUGAGAUUGCCUUUCUCCAAGUAUUCUUCAAACACUCCAGGGUA
This is a long non-coding RNA of Balaenoptera musculus (blue whale), 948 nucleotides long. RefSeq lists it as uncharacterized. The transcript has 5 exons. NCBI's taxonomy places the organism in Eukaryota, Metazoa, Chordata, Mammalia, Artiodactyla, Balaenopteridae. The record is from RefSeq and is a predicted model, not a curated record.